UUCCAGUGUUUUUUUGGUACCUCGUUUUUUAAUUAUUUUGUGCGUUAUUCAUACGGUUUUAGUAUAAUUUUCUUGUGAAUCGUGUGUUGCUCAUCGCUUUAGAAGUAGGUAUUCUUGCAUUAUUUUAUUUUUGGACAAAUAUAUAAGAGGCGCAUCAAAACUUUUUAUUUCUCCGUUCCUGGUACAUAUUCUUGAACCUGCAUAGACUACUUGAUUAAAUUGAACAUAUACAUGCAUGUGCAAGAGUAUUUCCAUCUGACACUGGAUUUAAACGCAGGCUUUUAGAAAUGGAUAUGAAAGAAGAAUCAGAUAACUUUAUUAUUCAAAGUACUUCAAGAAUGGAAGAAAUUAAAAAGAAUACUGCCAAUGAUAUUGAAUUACCUCCUGAAAUAAAGCAAAUUGGGUAUGAACUUGUAAAAGUUAUGGAGCAAAAUCCGGGUCUUGAUCCAAAAAAAGU
This is a long non-coding RNA of Ctenocephalides felis (cat flea), 457 nucleotides long. RefSeq lists it as uncharacterized. The transcript is spliced from 3 exons. The record is from RefSeq and is a predicted model, not a curated record. Lineage: Eukaryota; Metazoa; Arthropoda; Insecta; Siphonaptera; Pulicidae.